GGUGAGAUGAGCCCGGUCCACCGCAAGUUCGGUGAGUACCGGCUCAUCCACCUCCUCCCUCUGGUGCCCCGUCCUUUCCCGUUGACUCGGGUUAAGGGCGUUGAGGAAGGGAAAGGGGGCAACUUCUUUUUCUUCCGGGGCCCAGACCUUUUACCUUGAGGAAAUUAGAGUGUUCAAAGCGGGCGCGAAAAAUCUCGCCGUUGAAUACGUCAGCAUGGGAUAAUGGAAUAGGACCCCGUUCCUGUUUCCGUUGGUUUAUCAUUGGGAAUGGGGUAAUGAUUGAUAGGGAUAGUUGGGGGCAUCGAUAUUUAAUUGUCAGAGGUGAAAUUCUUGGAUUUAUGAAAGAUCGACUUCCGCGAAAGCAUUUGCCAAGGAUGUUUUCAUUAAUCAAGAACGAAAGUUAGGGGAUCGAAGACGAUCAGAUACCGUCGUAGUCUUAACCAUAAACCGUGCCGACCAGCGAUCGGGAGACGUCGCAUGGAUGACUCCCCCGGCAGCUUGUGAGAAAUCACAAGUCUUUGGGUUCCGGGGGGAGUAUG
Molecule: ribosomal RNA, 539 nt
Filed under: Protacanthamoeba sp. VD-2014
Lineage: Eukaryota; Discosea; Longamoebia; Acanthamoebidae
Description: bacterial SSU rRNA
Rfam family: Eukaryotic small subunit ribosomal RNA
Source: RNAcentral